RNAcentral lists this ribosomal RNA (725 nucleotides) under uncultured bacterium. RNAcentral's name for it is "bacterial SSU rRNA". It matches the Rfam family "Bacterial small subunit ribosomal RNA", at positions 61 to 746 of the family's 1533-position model. The record is from RNAcentral.
GUCGAGCGAGCUUGCCUAGAUGAAUUUGGUGCUUGCACCAGAUGAAACUAGAUACAAGCGAGCGGCGGACGGGUGAGUAACACGUGGGUAACCUGCCCAAGAGACUGGGAUAACACCUGGAAACAGAUGCUAAUACCGGAUAACAACACUAGACGCAUGUCUAGAGUUUAAAAGGUGGUUCUGCUAUCACUCUUGGAUGGACCUGCGGUGCAUUAGCUAGUUGGUAAGGUAACGGCUUACCAAGGCAAUGAUGCAUAGCCGAGUUGAGAGACUGAUCGGCCACAUUGGGACUGAGACACGGCCCAAACUCCUACGGGAGGCAGCAGUAGGGAAUCUUCCACAAUGGACGCAAGUCUGAUGGAGCAACGCCGCGUGAGUGAAGAAGGGUUUCGGCUCGUAAAGCUCUGUUGGUAGUGAAGAAAGAUAGAGGUAGUAACUGGCCUUUAUUUGACGGUAAUUACUUAGAAAGUCACGGCUAACUACGUGCCAGCAGCCGCGGUAAUACGUAGGUGGCAAGCGUUGUCCGGAUUUAUUGGGCGUAAAGCGAGUGCAGGCGGUUCAAUAAGUCUGAUGUGAAAGCCUUCGGCUCAACCGGAGAAUUGCAUCAGAAACUGUUGAACUUGAGUGCAGAAGAGGAGAGUGGAACUCCUUGUGUAGCGGUGGAAUGCGUAUAUAUAUGGAAGAACACCAGUGGCGAAGGCGGCUCUCUGGUCUGCAACUGACGC